UAGGGAAUCUUCCGCAAUGGACGAAAGUCUGACGGAGCAACGCCGCGUGAGUGAAGAAGGAUUUCGGUUCGUAAAUCUCUGUUGUUAGGGAAGAAAAAAUGUAUAGUAACUAUAUACAAAAGAGACGGUACCUAACCAGAAAGCCACGGCUAACUACGUGCCAGCAGCCGCGGUAAUACGUAGGUGGCAAGCGUUGUCCGGAAUUAUUGGGCGUAAAGCGCGCGCAGGUGGUUUAGAAAGUCUGAUGUGAAAGCCCACGGCUCAACCGUGGAGGGUCAUUGGAAACUAAUAAACUUGAGUGCAGGGGAGAGAAGUGGAAUUCCUAGUGUAGCGGUGAAAUGCGUAGAGAUUAGGAGGAACACCGGUGGCGAAAGCGGCUUUUUGGCCUGCAACUGACACUGAGGCGCGAAAGCGUGGGGAGCAAACAGG
Molecule: ribosomal RNA, 429 nt
Filed under: Verrucomicrobiota bacterium
Lineage: Bacteria; Pseudomonadati; Verrucomicrobiota
Description: Verrucomicrobia bacterium partial 16S ribosomal RNA
Rfam family: Bacterial small subunit ribosomal RNA
Source: RNAcentral